RNAcentral lists this long non-coding RNA (684 nucleotides) under Prunus persica (peach). Its description in RNAcentral is "long non-coding RNA (PPER_LNC000889)". Lineage: Eukaryota; Viridiplantae; Streptophyta; Magnoliopsida; Rosales; Rosaceae. The record is from RNAcentral.
GGUGAAUGGUUGGUAGUUCUUUGAAAGUUGUUCUCGCAUUAAAGAACAGUUGUGCAACAUGUAGUACAACUUUGUGAGAUGGUUUGUUGCGACCAGUGUAGAAAUGUGUUAUUUCAUAAAUGGAACCAGCUUUUAUUUUUGGAGCUUCAAAAUCAUAGUCGAUCUCUUUGACGCUAGCUUGUAUUGCAUCUGUCUACAUAAUUGAAAAAAGAGGAAGAGAAAAAUUAAUAAGGGAAAAUUAUAUUUAAAAGGAAGGAAAUACAAAUAUAUGAUAAUACAUUCAUUUAACAAAAAUAAAAAAAAUAAAAAACUAAUUAGACCAUAUAUAAUGAAUCCAGACCUAACAAAGCCCAUAGAUAAUACAGUUUACAGCAAUAUUGUUCAUUAUUCAGAUCCUCUACAGAAGCAUUUUGACCGAAUUUAUACCUACUUUAUAUGGUUAUGGCCUCCUAGAAAAAUGGGUUCAGUGUCAAUAACAAGAAGAACGUAUACACUUACACGCCAACAUCCACCAAAAACUAAGGGAGCUCAAUAGAAAUAGAUAUUAAACAAAGGGUUUCUUUAAGUGAUGUUAUUAUAAUUAAAUUGAAAUAACAUAGAAAAGAGAUUUUCUUACCUUUUGGUCAACCAGGAUACACUGAAGGCCGCCGAAUUGAUCAUUAGAUCCAAUAAGUUUUGGUCGCC